This 417-nucleotide ribosomal RNA is filed under the name uncultured bacterium. Its description in RNAcentral is "bacterial SSU rRNA". It matches the Rfam family "Bacterial small subunit ribosomal RNA", at positions 506 to 921 of the family's 1533-position model. The record is from RNAcentral.
GGCCAGCAGCCGCGGUAAUACGUAGGGUGCAAACAUUACCCGGAUUUAUUGGGCGUAAAGAGUUCGUAGGCGGUUUUGUAAGUUGGAUAUUAAAGACCCAGGCUCAACCUGGGGAAAGUAUUCAAAACUGCAUAACUAGAGGUGUGCAGGGGAAGAUGGAACUUGUGGUGUAGCAGUGAAAUGCGUAGAUAUCACAAGGAACGCCAAUGGUGAAGACAGUCUUCUGGGCACAACCUGACGCUGAGGAACGAAAGCGUGGGGAGCGAACGGGAUUAGAUACCCCGGUAGUCCACGCCGUAAACGAUGCAUACUAGGAUUUCGGAGAAUCGACCCUCUGGGAUUCGUAGCUAACGCGUUAAGUAUGCCGCCUGGGUAGUACGGCCGCAAGGCUAAAACUUAAAGGAAUUGGCGGGGGAC